AUUGAACGCUGGCGGCAUGCCUAACACAUGCAAGUCGAACGGCAGCAUGACAGUGUACUUGUACAGUGUUGAUGGCGAGUGGCGGACGGGUGAGUAAUACGUAGGGAUCUGCCUUUUAGAGGGGGACAACUCGGGGAAACUCGAGCUAAUACCGCAUAUAGCCUAAGGGUGAAAGCGUGGGACCGGGCAACUGGCCACGCACUAGAAGAUGAACCUACGUCGUGAUUAGCCAGUUGGUAGGGCAAAGGCCUACCAAGGCGAAGAUCCGUAGCUGGUCUGAGAGGAUGACCAGCCACACUGGGACUGAGACACGGCCCAGACUCCUACGGGAGGCAGAAGUGGGGAAUAUUGGACAAUGGGGGCAACCCUGAUCCAGCAAUGCCGCGUGUGUGAAGAAGGCCUGCGGGUUGUAAAGCACUUUAGUUGGGGAGGAAGUAAUACAUUUUAAUAGAGUGUAUUGUUGACGUUACCCAAAGAAUAAGCACCGGCUAACUCUGUGCCAGCCGCCGCGGUAA
This 515-nucleotide ribosomal RNA is filed under the name uncultured bacterium. RNAcentral's name for it is "partial 16S ribosomal RNA". It matches the Rfam family "Bacterial small subunit ribosomal RNA", at positions 30 to 523 of the family's 1533-position model. The record is from RNAcentral.